UACAGAGGUCCCAAGCGUUGUCCGGAUUUAUUGGGCGUAAAGAGCUUGUAGGCGGCUCGUCGCGUCGGGUGUGAAAACUUGCGGCUUAACCGCAAGCCUGCACCCGAUACGGGCGGGCUAGAGUUCGGCAGGGGAGACUGGAAUUCCUGGUGUAGCGGUGGAAUGCGCAGAUAUCAGGAGGAACACCGGUGGCGAAGGCGGGUCUCUGGGCCGAUACUGACGCUGAGAAGCGAAAGCGUGGGGAGCGAACAGG
This 253-nucleotide ribosomal RNA is filed under the name uncultured bacterium. RNAcentral's name for it is "partial 16S ribosomal RNA". It matches the Rfam family "Bacterial small subunit ribosomal RNA", at positions 524 to 776 of the family's 1533-position model. The record is from RNAcentral.